GUUUUGCGCGAGGGGUGGCAACGGAAAUCCUUGGCGUAGGUACGGAGCCAAGAUUGCAGUGAACGACCCGACCCCGA
Molecule: unclassified non-coding RNA, 77 nt
Filed under: Flavobacterium fontis
Lineage: Bacteria; Pseudomonadati; Bacteroidota; Flavobacteriia; Flavobacteriales; Flavobacteriaceae
Description: Flavo-1 RNA
Source: RNAcentral